Molecule: non-coding RNA, 242 nt
Filed under: Bacillus sp. (in: firmicutes)
Lineage: Bacteria; Bacillati; Bacillota; Bacilli; Caryophanales; Bacillaceae
Description: Bacillus sp. T-box sequence
Rfam family: T-box leader
About the family: Uncharged tRNA acts as the effector for transcription antitermination of genes in the T-box leader family.
Source: RNAcentral
UCAUAACUUAUGAUGGAGCACAGUAAUUAAGCAUAAAGCAUGAAAAGAGAAGAAAUGCCCUGGGCUGAAAGCAUUUCUGCAUGACACUUAAUGAAGGAACACUCCGUAGGUUUCUCUCUGAAAAAGGUAAACUCUAGUAGGAGAAGAACGUUAACAGGCGUUAACUGUAAGAGCGGAAGAGUCUAAUAAUUGGGCUUUUCAACUAGGGUGGCACCACGGGAACUACAACUCUCGUCCCUUGU